AGAACUGCCUGCAGUUCCUCCCAGCAGCCACCUUCUUCCUUCUGCCAAUGCGACUCUUCUCCUUCUGGGGUUCUUUGGCUGAGACUGGGCCAGUGAGCAGCUGAGACUGGAGAUGGGUGAGAGCUGGAACAUCUGCUGCUUCUUUUGGAAAGGGGUAAAGAAAAGGGCUUCAGAAAAGGAAGUCAGAGAUACGAAGAAUGAGAGGGAUUUGAUGCACAGUCACUAGCUUGAAGAUUGGAGGGGCCAUAUGGCAGGUCUGCAGGUGUCCUCCAGGAGUUGAAAGUAUCCUCUUACUGACAGUGGCAUGGAAAUAGUGACCUCAGUCUUACAACCACGGGGAACUGAAUUUUGUCAACAACAAGAAUGGGUUUAUAAGCAGAUUUUUACCCAACCUCCCCGCCAAGACAAGAACUAAGCUCAGAUGACAACUUGAUUUCAACCUAUGAAACCCCAAGCAGAAAACUCAGCCACACUGUGUCAUUCUGACCUAGAGGACUAAGAACAAGUUCACCAUUCAAUUGAAGUAAUUUGUUACAUGGCAAGAGCAGACCAACAUGAAUACCAUCUAUGUGCUGAUGACUUAAAUGUGUAUAUUUAGCUCAGCUUCACUCUUGACCUCCAGUCUUAUGAAUCUUCAUUAGUAUGAAUAAAACAGAAAUUUUGACUC
Molecule: long non-coding RNA, 667 nt
Filed under: Homo sapiens (human)
Lineage: Eukaryota; Metazoa; Chordata; Mammalia; Primates; Hominidae
Description: HSALNT0340212
Source: RNAcentral